This 356-nucleotide ribosomal RNA is filed under the name uncultured bacterium. Its description in RNAcentral is "bacterial SSU rRNA". It matches the Rfam family "Bacterial small subunit ribosomal RNA", at positions 29 to 414 of the family's 1533-position model. The record is from RNAcentral.
AACGAACGCUGGCGGCAUGCCUAACACAUGCAAGUCGAACGAGACCUUCGGGUCUAGUGGCGCACGGGUGCGUAACACGUGGGAAUUUGCCUCGGGGUAUGGAAUAACUCAGGGAAACUUGAGCUAAUACCAUAUAAUGUCUUCGGACCAAAAGAUUUAUCGCCCUGAGAUAAGCCCGCGUAGGAUUAGCUAGUUGGUGGGUAAAGGCUCACCAAGGCGACGAUCCUUAGCUGGUCUGAGAGGAUGAUCAGCCACACUGGGACUGAGACACGGCCCAGACUCCUACGGGAGGCAGCAGUGGGAAUAUUGGACAAUGGCGAAAGCCUGAUCCAGCAAUGCCGCGUGAGUGAUGAAGG